GCUGGCGGCGUGCCUCAGACAUGCAAGUCGAACGCGAAAGUUUCCUUCGGGGAACAAGUAGAGUGGCGCACGGGUGAGUAACACGUAGGUAAUCUACCUUCGGAUGGGGAAUAACACCGAGAAAUCGGUGCUAAUACCGCAUAAUGCAGCGGCACCUAAUGGUGACAGUUGUUAAAGCGGGGGAUCGCAAGACCUCGCGUCUGAAGAGGAGCCUGCGGCGGAUUAGCUAGUUGGUAAGGUAACGGCUUACCAAGGCGAUGAUCCGUAGCCGGCCUGAGAGGGCGGUCGGCCACACUGACACUGACAUACGGGUCAGACUCCUACGGGAGGCAGCAGUCGGGAAUUUUGGGCAAUGGGCGAAAGCCUGACCCAGCAACGCCGCGUGAAGGAUGAAAUCCCUCGGGAUGUAAACUUCGCAAGAACAGGAAGAAUAAGUGAGAGUUAACACCUCUUACGAUGACGGUACUGUUUGUAAGCUCCGGCUAACUCCGUGCCAGCAGCCGCGGUAAUACGGGGGGAGCAAGCGUUGUUCGGAUUUACUGGGCGUAAAGGGCGCGUAGGCGGCCACCGCAAGUCGAUUGUGAAAUCUCCGGGCUUAACCCGGAAAGGUCA
Molecule: ribosomal RNA, 612 nt
Filed under: uncultured soil bacterium
Lineage: Bacteria
Description: bacterial SSU rRNA
Rfam family: Bacterial small subunit ribosomal RNA
Source: RNAcentral